This 345-nucleotide ribosomal RNA is filed under the name uncultured prokaryote. RNAcentral describes it as "bacterial SSU rRNA". It matches the Rfam family "Bacterial small subunit ribosomal RNA", at positions 788 to 1132 of the family's 1533-position model. The record is from RNAcentral.
UGGUAGUCCACGCCGUAAACGAUGUCUACUUGGAGGUUGUGGCCUUGAGCCGUGGCUUUCGGAGCUAACGCGUUAAGUAGACCGCCUGGGGAGUACGGUCGCAAGAUUAAAACUCAAAUGAAUUGACGGGGGCCCGCACAAGCGGUGGAGCAUGUGGUUUAAUUCGAUGCAACGCGAAGAACCUUACCUACUCUUGACAUCCAGAGAACUUUCCAGAGAUGGAUUGGUGCCUUCGGGAACUCUGAGACAGGUGCUGCAUGGCUGUCGUCAGCUCGUGUUGUGAAAUGUUGGGUUAAGUCCCGCAACGAGCGCAACCCUUAUCCUUGUUUGCCAGCGAGUAAUGUC